AAAGAAGGAGAAGAAGCCAUAGAUAGAUUAAGAGCUUAUGAGUGGAGGACUAGAGAUUUCAUCAAAGAUUAAGAGGGAUAGUAACAUAGUUAUUGGAGAUGAUUCAUGAGAAGAGAGAAAAUCAUUUUUCUCUAGCCCAAACUCUCUUAUCUCAAUUGGGGGUUUGUAUGUGGGAUUUGGGAAUGUGUUUAUUAAAAACUUUUAUGUGUUGAUUCAUGAUUCUAUUGGUUCUAUCAUGAUUAUUGGGUG
RNAcentral lists this long non-coding RNA (249 nucleotides) under Trifolium pratense (red clover). RNAcentral describes it as "long non-coding RNA (TPRA_LNC013950)". The record is from RNAcentral. Lineage: Eukaryota; Viridiplantae; Streptophyta; Magnoliopsida; Fabales; Fabaceae.